Molecule: long non-coding RNA, 580 nt
Filed under: Panax ginseng (ginseng)
Lineage: Eukaryota; Viridiplantae; Streptophyta; Magnoliopsida; Apiales; Araliaceae
Description: long non-coding RNA (PGIN_LNC001392)
Source: RNAcentral
AAACUAGACCACUCGCACUAUUUUACGUUUCUGGAAAAAACCCAGAAACUUGUUAGACAGUUUUCUGACAGCCAUUAACCGAUCAAGUUCUUACUAGUAUUUUGUUGUUAUGGUUAUGUGUUGUAUUAGAUCUGUAAUAUUACAUGCUAUCUACAAUCUAGAUGUCUUAAAUCAUAUGAAAGUUACCAGUAUUGCAAGUUAUGGAGAUCUAAAGUAGGUACCUUGUACUGUUCUUCAUUUCUGGAAAACCCAAAAAUGAAGAACAGUGUCUGACAAUAGUUUUGAGAGAUUAAAUCUCUUUGUUGUUUAAUGAUUUGACCAUGUAAUCAGUUUGUAGUUAUAGUGAUGCAUGAGUGCUACAAUAUCUAAUCGAUCUCUAGCCCAGAAACACUUUAUAUUGGAUUUUAUAAGUGGUCAAACUAGAGACCCUACACACUGUCGAUGAAUUUCUGGGUUUGAUGAAGAACACUCAAGAACACCUAUAGCGACAGUUUCGUCGCUAUAGGGUCCUUUAGCGACAGUUUAUUUCCUAAAUUAUUUAUUUUUACGAAAUAAAUAGAAAAAUUAGUUUUUAAUUAUU